GGGUGAUUAGCUCAGUGGAAGAGCACCUCCCUUACAAGGAGGGGGUCGAUGGUUCAAAUCCAUCAUCACCCA
RNAcentral lists this transfer RNA (72 nucleotides) under bacterium endosymbiont of Pedicinus badii. It matches the Rfam family "tRNA". From Rfam's summary of the family: Transfer RNA (tRNA) molecules are approximately 80 nucleotides in length. Their secondary structure includes four short double-helical elements and three loops (D, anti-codon, and T loops). The record is from Rfam by way of RNAcentral. Lineage: Bacteria; Pseudomonadati; Pseudomonadota; Gammaproteobacteria.